RNAcentral lists this ribosomal RNA (510 nucleotides) under uncultured Azospira sp. RNAcentral's name for it is "bacterial SSU rRNA". It matches the Rfam family "Bacterial small subunit ribosomal RNA", at positions 26 to 529 of the family's 1533-position model. Lineage: Bacteria; Pseudomonadati; Pseudomonadota; Betaproteobacteria; Rhodocyclales; Rhodocyclaceae. The record is from RNAcentral.
AGAUUGAACGCUGGCGGCAUGCCUUACACAUGCAAGUCGAACGGCAGCACGGGAGCUUGCUCCUGGUGGCGAGUGGCGAACGGGUGAGUAAUACAUCGGAACGUACCCAGGAGUGGGGGAUAACGUAGCGAAAGUUACGCUAAUACCGCAUAUUCUGUGAGCAGGAAAGCGGGGGAUCGCAAGACCUCGCGCUCUUGGAGCGGCCGAUGUCGGAUUAGCUAGUUGGUGAGGUAAAAGCUCACCAAGGCGACGAUCCGUAGCAGGUCUGAGAGGAUGAUCUGCCACACUGGGACUGAGACACGGCCCAGACUCCUACGGGAGGCAGCAGUGGGGAAUUUUGGACAAUGGGGGCAACCCUGAUCCAGCCAUGCCGCGUGAGUGAAGAAGGCCUUCGGGUUGUAAAGCUCUUUCGGCGGGGAAGAAAUGGCAACGGCUAAUAUCCGUUGUUGAUGACGGUACCCGCAUAAGAAGCACCGGCUAACUACGUGCCAGCAGCCGCGGUAAUACGUA